Long non-coding RNA from Ruditapes philippinarum (Manila clam), 399 nucleotides. RefSeq lists it as uncharacterized. Lineage: Eukaryota; Metazoa; Mollusca; Bivalvia; Venerida; Veneridae. The record is from RefSeq and is a predicted model, not a curated record. The transcript is spliced from 3 exons.
UGCCUUAUAAAUACUGACAGCCAAGCGUUGGUUAUUCAUCGUCUGUUAAAGCUACUUUUUUGUGGACAGAACCUCCAAGACAGCAAUAUGAACGGGAAACUUAUGUUGGUGCUACUUUUGGUUGGAAUGCUUAUGCUAGCUUCUAUUGAAGUUGCCGAUGCAUCAUAUAGCUGUUACAAUGAGGGAGCCGGUUGUCCAGGUGGUGCAGGUUCAGUCUCUGGUUCAAACUGUGACAAUGCUUGCUCCAGAGACUUUAUGUGCUGUCAAGAUUAACAAAAUGAUGUUCUGACAUCGAAAGCUUUUGGGAUGAAACAUUUAUUAGUACUCAACAUAAAGCUCAAUGUUAUAUGUAUAUGACACAACCAAUAGAUAUUAUGGAAUUAAAUUAUAAAGUUAAAA